AACGUAGGAGACAAACGUUAUCCGGAGUUACUGGGCGUAAAGGGCGUGCAGGUGGUCUGUUAAGUCUGGCGUGAAAGCUCCUGGCUAAACCGGGAGAGGUCGUUGGAUACUGGCGGACUAGAGGACGGUAGAGGCGUGGGGAAUUCCGGGUGUAGUGGUGAAACGCGUAGAGAUCCGGAGGAACACCAGUGGCGAAGGCGACACGCUGGGCCGUACCUGACACUGAUACGCGACAGCAUGGGGAGCGAACGGG
This 253-nucleotide ribosomal RNA is filed under the name uncultured bacterium. RNAcentral's name for it is "partial 16S ribosomal RNA". It matches the Rfam family "Bacterial small subunit ribosomal RNA", at positions 524 to 776 of the family's 1533-position model. The record is from RNAcentral.